Molecule: ribosomal RNA, 527 nt
Filed under: uncultured Bacteroidota bacterium
Lineage: Bacteria; Pseudomonadati; Bacteroidota
Description: bacterial SSU rRNA
Rfam family: Bacterial small subunit ribosomal RNA
Source: RNAcentral
UCUAGCUUGCUAGAUGCUGACGAGUGGCGCACGGGUGCGUAACGCGUAUACAAUCUACCUUUAACUGAGGGAUAGCCCAGAGAAAUUUGGAUUAAUACCUCAUAGUAUUAUAAUUAGGCAUCUUUUUAUAAUUAAAACUUCGGUGGUUAAAGAUGAGUAUGCGUACUAUUAGCUAGUUGGUAAGGUAAAAGCUUACCAAGGCAACGAUAGUUAGGGGGCCUGAAAGGGUGAUCCCCCACACUGGUACUGAGACACGGACCAGACUCCUACGGGAGGCAGCAGUGAGGAAUAUCGCACAAUGGAGGAAACUCUGAUGCAGCCAUGCCGCGUGCAGGAAGAAUGCCCUAUGGGUUGUAAACUGCUUUUAUACAAGAAGAAACCUCGGUACGUGUACCGACUUGACGGUAUUGUAUGAAUAAGCACCGGCUAACUCCGUGCCAGCAGCCGCGGUAAUACGGAGGGUGCAAGCGUUAUCCGGAUUUAUUAGGUUUAAAGGGUCCGCAGGCGGAAUAUUAAGUCAGUGGUGA